RNAcentral lists this long non-coding RNA (320 nucleotides) under Salvia miltiorrhiza (redroot sage). RNAcentral's name for it is "long non-coding RNA (SMIL_LNC000892)". Lineage: Eukaryota; Viridiplantae; Streptophyta; Magnoliopsida; Lamiales; Lamiaceae. The record is from RNAcentral.
CGCGCGAUCGGAUCGAGUUACCGAAAUGAUGUCGGAGAUUUUAGCGAGGGAGGAUUCUAGAGAGAGGAGGAAGAUCUGGUUAGGGUUGGCGUCGGGCGAGGGAUUGGUUUCGGAGGAUACGGAAUCGAUACAAGCGGAUCGGAAUUUGAUCGGGGAGCAAAAUUCAAUAAUCGCUCGAUUUGAUUUGAGUGAUUCGGAGUUGAGUUUUUCAACGAAGGAGGUGAUUGUUCGGCCGGUGAUUAAAGCGAGUAGGAUGAUUAGGGAGAAGAAAAUUGCGAUCAGGAUUUUGUUGCGCCUGCGAAUUGAUGCGAGCUUGUCUU